Molecule: non-coding RNA, 262 nt
Organism: Pantherophis guttatus
Lineage: Eukaryota; Metazoa; Chordata; Lepidosauria; Squamata; Colubridae
Source: RefSeq, a predicted model, not a curated record
CUUAUUGGGUGAAUCUGCUUUGCCUUUUGACUGACAGCGAGUAUGAGACUGGCAGUGAGUAUGGAAAGUCCAAAGAAAUCAUUCUAUAGUCCUUGACUUAUGACCACAACUGGACCAAAUGUCUGCCACUAAGUUAUGAGAUCGUUAAGGAAGAAAAAUGCCAGAGAAUUUGAAAGAGGACAAUAUAGCAAGGAGAAGAUUUGGCUUUAAACUAUUGGCUGAUGUUAUUAUUGAAUAAUGACUACAUGUUGUUCACAAUGAU